UGUCAGGACGACAAAAGCUCUGA
Molecule: microRNA, 23 nt
Filed under: Branchiostoma floridae (Florida lancelet)
Lineage: Eukaryota; Metazoa; Chordata; Leptocardii; Amphioxiformes; Branchiostomatidae
Description: bfl-miR-4872c
Source: miRBase by way of RNAcentral